UGAGGAAUAUUGGGCAAUGCCCGCAAGGGUGACCCAGCAACGCCGCGUGGAGGAUGAAUGUCGUAAGAUUGUAAACUCCUGUUAGAGGGGAAGAAUAGUACCGGUUGGACCGGUAUAUGACUGUACCCUCAGAGAAAGCCCCGGCUAACUACGUGCCAGCAGCCGCGGUAAUACGUAGGGGGCAAGCGUUGUCCGGAUUUACUGGGUGUAAAGGGCGCGCAGGCGGGAUAAAAAGUCAGUGGUGAAAUCCUACAGCUUAACUGUAGAACUGCCUUUGAUACUUUUAUUCUUGAGUUCGGGAGAGAGAGACGGAAUUCCAGGAUUAGUGGUGAAAUACGUAGAUAUCUGGAAGAACACCAGUUGCGAAGGCGGUCUCUUGGUCCGACACUGACGCU
Molecule: ribosomal RNA, 395 nt
Filed under: uncultured bacterium
Lineage: Bacteria
Description: bacterial SSU rRNA
Rfam family: Bacterial small subunit ribosomal RNA
Source: RNAcentral